This is a long non-coding RNA of Nymphaea colorata (pocket water lily), 1161 nucleotides long. RefSeq lists it as uncharacterized. The transcript has 2 exons. NCBI's taxonomy places the organism in Eukaryota, Viridiplantae, Streptophyta, Magnoliopsida, Nymphaeales, Nymphaeaceae. The record is from RefSeq and is a predicted model, not a curated record.
CAAGCUCACCUGGAAAAAGGCACCAUGUGAUUUCGAAUAUGUGGGGAAGAUGAUGCAUGGUCCGGUCAAGGCCGUUGGGGGGAGAGGUGGUCUGGUCCUGUCACGGCCUCAGUAGUACACCACGUUAUGUCUUCUGUAUGAAGAAAUCACACGGUUUAAUGAUUUUUUAAUGGAAAACUAAUAUGCAGCCAUGUUCGCGAUUCUUGCAUACUUUGUUCGCGUCUGGUUGUUUCUGCUCUUAAUGUGCUAAGAUGCCUUGGCUUGAGAGAUGGUUCAGGAUAAUAAAUUUCCAUGGAUUCUUCAGCGGAUCCUGCAGUUGGCAAGCCCUCUAGUAACCUCCAAGCCAAGUGCCGCAGAGCAUGCACGAAAUAUAGAUGCCAUUGUCAUCUACCAUGCAGUGUACAUCCUAGAUUUCUGGUAUCAGAGCUGUACAUGAUCGCCUUCACAUUCUUCCAGUUACCAUGAACUUAUGUCGGCCAGAAAACUGUAAAAUUCUUCUGCUCACCUCAUGUUUUGAAGCCCUAGCCAGCAGCUGAAAUCUUCACGUCAGCCACACGGCACAUGGAAUCCUCAACCAGUAUUUAGCGGAUAUGUUCGCUGGUGGCAUGCAAGUAUACGUCCUCGAUCCAUUCCAAAAGCAUUAAUGACGGUUCAGAAGCACGAUGCGUGACAAAGGGAGGCCAUUAACUAAAUAUCUGUAGCUUUUGCGUGAUGCCAAGUAUCACGGGGCACUCUGAUUUCACGUGGCCGAUACUUUCGUGGUUGUUCCGCAACUUGGUCGAAAUGGGGUUAUGCAAUCUUAGUGUCUGAUCAGUUGGUAAACGUCUGAGAAUUAAGCAAACAAUUUCCAAACUCUAAAAAACUAGCAAUUCUUUUACCAAUUCCUUUUGGUGAACUAUCAUGGAAACUACUCAUUUCACGUGUAUCGUCUUUCUCGAUUUCUUGCCUGUUUUUUUUUCUGUCUGAUCAUGAAGUGUGAACCUGGGGUGUUUAGAUUGUACAUUUCAAAAGCCUGGUGACAUGUGACACCACUAAAAGAGUUGGGGAGAGAAAGAGGGAGAGAUACAGAGAGAGAGAUGUCUGAAAUGGAUCUAGAAAGAAGAUAACAAUGGAUGGUUUCCGUUUUCCUAUGGUAAUCGAAUUCUCUUUCUUUCGCUCUCA